This 305-nucleotide ribosomal RNA is filed under the name uncultured bacterium. RNAcentral's name for it is "bacterial SSU rRNA". It matches the Rfam family "Bacterial small subunit ribosomal RNA", at positions 338 to 661 of the family's 1533-position model. The record is from RNAcentral.
CCUACCGGACGCAGCAGUGGGGAAUAUUGCACAAUGGGGGAAACCCUGAUGCAGCGACGCCGCGUGAGUGAUGAAGUAUUUCGGUAUGUAAAGCUCUAUCAGCAGGGAAGAUAAUGACGGUACCUGACUAAGAAGCUCCGGCUAAAUACGUGCCAGCAGCCGCGGUAAUACGUAUGGAGCAAGCGUUAUCCGGAUUUAUUGGGUUUAAAGGGUGCGCAGGCGGCGAGUUAAGUCAGCGGUAAAAUUUCGGGGCUCAACCCCGACGAGCCGUCGAAACUGGCUUGCUAGAGUGGGCGAGAAGUAUG